Molecule: long non-coding RNA, 213 nt
Filed under: Mytilus galloprovincialis (Mediterranean mussel)
Lineage: Eukaryota; Metazoa; Mollusca; Bivalvia; Mytilida; Mytilidae
Source: RNAcentral
UCCAAAGGACUGACCUUAGACUUUAAAUACGUAUAUCGGACAUUCAAAUAAAGGUUAUACACUACAGUUUAACAGAAAACUCACCCUGUGGAGGGUUGAAUACCAUAAAAAAAGUUUGUUUGGCUUUGCCGCUGUUGCCGAUUGGCAGACAUCAUAAUAAAAUUCAACAUAAUGACGGAACAGAUCCGUAAAAUUCCGGAGUGUGACAUUACA